RNAcentral lists this long non-coding RNA (217 nucleotides) under Gossypium barbadense (sea-island cotton). RNAcentral describes it as "long non-coding RNA (GBAR_LNC005900)". Lineage: Eukaryota; Viridiplantae; Streptophyta; Magnoliopsida; Malvales; Malvaceae. The record is from RNAcentral.
UGGGCAGUAGCAGUGAAGAAAUCAUGCCUCCAUAAUGGCAUAGGGACCCAUUAUUUUUGUUUUUGCUACUGCCUCUGAAUCUGAUGAGGUAAAUUGGAAAUCAAGAGCCACCAAUCAAAAACUACGUGCCCUGCCAUGUCAUGCCACUCCAUAUAAACAUCAGCAUCAGAGAAGAUAAGCUCCACAUGGGAGGACGACAAACUACCGCCUGGGUUAC